This is a non-coding RNA of Myotis lucifugus (little brown bat), 31 nucleotides long. The record is from Rfam. Lineage: Eukaryota; Metazoa; Chordata; Mammalia; Chiroptera; Vespertilionidae.
ACCUCAUCUUUGUCAGUGCACAAAAUGGCGC